Molecule: long non-coding RNA, 1739 nt
Organism: Ixodes scapularis (black-legged tick)
Lineage: Eukaryota; Metazoa; Arthropoda; Arachnida; Ixodida; Ixodidae
Exons: 2
Source: RefSeq, a predicted model, not a curated record
UCGCCUCGCAAGGGCGGCCUGUACGCAAGCCUCCCGUGGUCGUGUUCCGCGAGCAGGAGAUACUCGUUUGAGAGCAGUGCCAACGGCAGCCCCCUUGGUCUGGGUGCAGGUAUGUGGACCGCCUGGUGGAGACGCUGCAGCAGAAGCUGUACCAGGCAGACAAGAUGCUGCAGUCUCAGGAGGCCGUGGUGGCACGGCGUCAGGAGGCCCUGGACGAGCAGCGCCAGCUCCAGCCAAAGCUGGAUCUCGUGCUGCUCAAGACGAGGCAGCUUCAGAAGCAGAUACAAGAGGAGAUCUCGAAGCGCUACAAGGACCGGCCGGUCAACAUCAUGGGAGGCAUCAACGUCAUGUGACGGCCGUGAACUGCCUAGCACCCCUGUUAGCACCCUUCCCGUGCCCGUUCCUGGCGGCAGCCCCACGUCCCUUGCCCGCCCGCAGAGCUUCCGAAGCCUGGCAGCGCUCGCGUCUCAUCCUCAACCAUUGGGGCAAGGUUAUGCCUCGUGCCAUGUGCGGUCGUUUGGCAAGGGCGAGGUGCCUAGAAGCCGCCGAUCCAUCGUCGUGCAGAAAAUUGGCCAAGAGUGUGCGACAGACUGGAGAGAUUGUGUUCCCGAGAUUGGGGGGAGUGUCGGUGCGCAGCAUUGCGAGAAUCGUGGAAGUGGCAAUGUUUUUAUUUUUUUUUUUUUUUUACAAGAACAACUUUCUUACUUUUUCUGCUAAAAAACGCCUAUGUUCCGUAGUUGUUGCAUGCGGUUCAACUGUACGGCUUUCACCUCGCUUGAAAUGAAGCAUACGAGUGUCAGUUUGUCGCGCGAGUGCUACUCCAGUGGCAACAGGGCUACAUUAGCCUUACCAAAACCGAAAGACCAUUUAUUGCGCAGCAACCAGCCAUGAUGCCACUUGGCUAAUACUCGGGGGGGGGGGGGGGCAGAAUGUUGCGCUUGCUCGCUGCAUUUGAGCUUGGUGAUGACCGUACAGAUUUUGAAAGAUUGGUGUGGGAGCCCUUCACGGGACUUUGCUUGCAGUCACUUUAAAAGACAAAGUCGUUACAUCCAGUACAGGUACACUGCAAGAUAUUUAGCAUAAACACGACUUCGGCGCUUUUCCUCAUUUUACUUUAAAUGGGUAUUGGCGGGCACCAAAUUUUGUCCCUGGGGUAAAUGUUCAAAAUGAGCAUUUUCCACCACACUAGUACUCUUGAUGACCGCCUGUCGAUUCUAAGAGACAAACGGAAAAUAUUGGUGACCGUUUGUUUGCACUGACAGUUUUGCACUUUGUGCAUUUAACACUGUUUGACGAUGUACAUCCAUUCUUUCUCUACUCUCAUUGCCACAAUACUGUUGCACCUGCUGGUAUAUAUUAUACAUAGUGAACAGAACGGCGCACAAAAAAAACGAGGACAGAGAAAAGAACAUGCACAACACCCAGCGCUUGUGUGUUGUGCAUAUUCCUUUUCUCUGUCCUCGUCUUUUUGUGCGCUGUUCUGUUCACCAUGUCAUCAUAACAACUCGCCCAACUUACAACACUUCUGCAUAUUACACAUAGUUGGUGCAUCGAAAAUGCAGUUUAUUUUAAAAGGUUACAAUAUGCCACACGUGGCCAAUGAGUUUAGCUUAGAAAACCUACUUCUGGACCCGGUAGGAAUUUUUGAUUAAAUGAAAAACAGUUUAAAUUACCAUAUUUACUCGUAUAUAGAUCUUUAUACCGAGACCCCGCGGAGAAUAAUAAAAAUUGUUUGAAUA